AAGCGGAGGAAAAGAAACUAACAAGGAUUCCCUUAGUAACUGCGAGUGAAGUGGGAAGAGCUCAAAUUUAAAAUCUGGUAGUCCUAUAAGGCUGCUCGAGUUGUAAUCUAAAGAAGUGCUGCCCGCGCUAGAAUCUAUGUACAAGUCUCCUGGAAUGGAGUAUCAUAGAGGGUGAGAAUCCCGUCUCUGACAUGGGCUUUCUGGGGCUUUGUGGCAUGCUCUCAAAGAGUCGAGUUGUUUGGGAAUGCAGCUCAAAAUUGGUGGUAAAUGCCAUCUAAAGCUAAAUACAGGCGAGAGACCGAUAGUGAACAAGUACCGUGAGGGAAAGAUGAAAAGAACUUUGGAAAGAGAGUUAAACAGUACGUGAAAUUGCUGAAAGGGAAACGCUUGAAGUCAGUCUCAUCAGCUUGGAAUCAACCUUUGCUUCUGCUGGGUGCACUUCCUUGAUUCUGAUGGGUCAGCAUCAAUUUUGGCCACUGGAAAAAGGCUGUAGGGAAUGUGACAUCUCUUUGUGGAUGUGUUAUAGCCCCAUGGUCAUAUGCAGUGGUUGGGAUUGAGGAACUCAGCAUGCCCGCAAGGGCUGGGUUUUUAUUAAAACCACAUCUCAUGCUUAGGAUGGCUGGCAUAAUGGCUUUAAGCGACCCGUCUUGAAACACGGACCAAGGAGUCUAACAUGCCUGCGAGUGUUUGGGUGGAAAAACUCAUGCGCGCAAUGAAAGUGAAAGUUGGGAUCCCUGUUGUUGGGGAGCACCGACACCCGGACCAGACCUUUUGCGAUGGAUCUGCGGUAGAGCAUGUAUGUUGGGACCCGAAAGAUGGUGAACUAUGCCUGAAUAGGGUGAAGCCAGAGGAAACUCUGGUGGAGGCUCGUAGCGAUUCUGACGUGCAAAUCGAUCGUCAAAUUUGGGUAUAGGGGCGAAAGACUAAUCGAACCAUCUAGUAGCUGGUUCCU
RNAcentral lists this ribosomal RNA (952 nucleotides) under Auritella fulvella. Its description in RNAcentral is "eukaryotic LSU rRNA". It matches the Rfam family "Eukaryotic large subunit ribosomal RNA", at positions 48 to 959 of the family's 3401-position model. The record is from RNAcentral. Lineage: Eukaryota; Fungi; Basidiomycota; Agaricomycetes; Agaricales; Inocybaceae.